This 95-nucleotide long non-coding RNA is filed under the name Capra hircus (goat). RNAcentral describes it as "lncRNA (ENSCHIG00010007772.1)". The record is from RNAcentral. Lineage: Eukaryota; Metazoa; Chordata; Mammalia; Artiodactyla; Bovidae.
CAAGCAAACAGGCUGCUCUGAUUCUGGUGCUGCUGCUUCUCCUCCAAUAGAGGAUUCUCAAAAGGGUGAUUAGCAUAUUAGGAUAAGCAUCAAUG